UAAAGUAGUAGGAGGGUGAUGUGUCCAGAGACGCCGUGGAAGCUCUUCUCCCCCUGCAUCAUGCCUUCCUCCAUGCAUCUAUUUCACAUGGCUGUUCCUGAGUUAUAUCCUUUAUGAUAGACCGCAAUUAUAAUUUCUGAUGGUCCGACGAUGAAGGGUAUUUCUGGCUUAGCAUCUCUCGUGAGUUUCCGCAAGGCCUUUAGCUUGGACUGCAGUCAUCUGAAGGAGUGACGGGAGCUGGAGAUGGAGUUUCUAACUGACACACCUAACUGUUGGAAAAAGAAUUUAAGAACAUCGGAAUAAAACUGUGAGACAUAAUUAUAUUCCUCAAUCAAUCUGGACCAAGAGAACAACUGUGUAACAAACAGGACUUGGGGACCUAGAAGGCAGGUCAUUCUGUGACACUGACAGAGGAUAGUACCACAAGGACUCAAGCUCAGAAAAACCAGCCAUCUUCACAAUGAACAUUCGAGGGGGUUUUCCCUCUGCAACUCUUUAUUCAUGAAUUUCUUUGAGAUUCCAGUACUGUCCUAACCACACAG
Long non-coding RNA from Tupaia belangeri chinensis (Chinese tree shrew), 542 nucleotides. RefSeq lists it as uncharacterized. Lineage: Eukaryota; Metazoa; Chordata; Mammalia; Scandentia; Tupaiidae. The record is from RefSeq and is a predicted model, not a curated record. The transcript has 3 exons.